This is a long non-coding RNA of Sipha flava (yellow sugarcane aphid), 663 nucleotides long. RefSeq lists it as uncharacterized. The transcript has 2 exons. Lineage: Eukaryota; Metazoa; Arthropoda; Insecta; Hemiptera; Aphididae. The record is from RefSeq and is a predicted model, not a curated record.
UAAAUUAUGUGCAAUUUACCUAUAUGUUAAAAUGAAUUAAUGAACAUAAUAUUAAACAAGUAUUACUAAUUUAUUGUAUGGCAUCGAUGUGUAGUGUUAGACAUGUGUAAGCUUGAAAAUAUCAUUUUCGAUGGCUGAAAACCUACGGCUGUUUUUGGUAUACUUGAUCAGUUAUCAACAUAAGUCAUGUAUUUUUCUUCUGUUUCUUCUGUUUAAACCGGUAAACUUGUAAAGCCUGAACGUAAGAUUUAUAGUAUUAGUAUCUUAUUUUUGUAUGCACGACUGAUUUCAUUACAUUAUUUCUAGUCUUAGACGUCACAACCUACGUGAUAUUUCUUUCGUUUGACUAUCGGUUUGUCAUGGAUCAUUAGAACUGGAAUUCAGUGUCUACUGAGUACAUUUUGAAAUUUCGAAUGACCCCACAUGAUCACCGGGGUCUUUUCCCUUAUCCGAGAAAAAGAAAUUUGGAAAUUUUUUCAACUUCACUUAUUUAAGUGAUGAUCACAUAUGAGUGUAGAUUGCAAUUCGUAGAGUACAUAAAUAAGGUGAGAUUCACGUGGUAAAAGUAAAAUAACUGUAAAUAUGUCGAAGAAAAAAAAAUAUUUAUUACAAACACAUUAUGCAUAAAUCUUGUAAAGUGAUUUUUUUUGUGAAAAAAAAAAA